AUAGACCAAAAAGAAGAAGAAACAGUUUUCGAAUUUCUUGUACUGGAGAAAAUGUUUUCGGCUUUGUCGAAAAUGUUUUCGUCGUUUAUAUAUAUCUUACUUCUUUGUUCCGCUUACGCUCAUCAGUAUUUAAUGAUAAGCACUGUAUGUGACUUGAUCGACAUAAAGUACAGUUUUCAAUGCGGGGAUGUUUCUUGUGAGGGGCCAUUACAGUACUGUUCCGAUGACAAUGUUUGUCUGUACUGUUCGAUGUAUUUGUGUCAGAGUCCAACUCCGCCCAGUCAGUGUCAACUUCAGUGUAAGAAACUUCAACUUGGGAACUUUACAGAACAUUGUGGUGAUGAGAUGAUGAAACAAAAGAGUAAUUCUACAAAAGAUCAUGAAAGUGACAUGCAUGGGUUUUGCAUUGAUAUUUAUUACUUCUCUGCAUUUUGUGCUGUAUCGGUAGUUAUUGCUACCAUCAUCAUAAUCACUGCAUCCCAACUGUGCAAAAAGUACAGGGCUCGAAAAAAUCAUGCCUUUGUCAAUGUCAACCAUUUUCACAGAUGUUGCUGUUUCAGUUACCCAGAAAAUCGUAAACAAAACGCAACAUGCCCCAGCGAAGAAAUGACAGCAAUUUGUGUCCCAAGUGGAAAAUGAGCAACAUAUCCCACUGAUAAAUUAAGUAAGGAAGACUAAUGAUCAACACAUGGAUUUCAAUGUUCCAUUUUAAAUGCUUUUUUGUAAUUUAUCAAAUUCAACCCUUCAAUAUUCUUUUAAGUACCCCCAAGAAAUAAAUAAAAAAUUUAAGAAUCAGUGUGCAUGUAUAUAAUAAAAUAUUUGGCCAUCUUAUGCACCUG
Molecule: long non-coding RNA, 839 nt
Organism: Magallana angulata
Lineage: Eukaryota; Metazoa; Mollusca; Bivalvia; Ostreida; Ostreidae
Exons: 5
Source: RefSeq, a predicted model, not a curated record